Molecule: unclassified non-coding RNA, 240 nt
Filed under: soil metagenome
Description: partial contains 5.8S ribosomal RNA, internal transcribed spacer 2, and large subunit ribosomal RNA
Source: RNAcentral
AACGCACGAGACCUGCGGACCUGCGGAGGGAUCAUUAUAGAAUAAACCUGGUGGACUGUUGCUGGCUCUCUCGGGAGCAUGUGCACGUCUGUCAUCUUUAUAUCUCCACCUGUGCACCUUUUGUAGACCUGGAAAUAACUUUAUUCUGAGGAGACUCAGUUGUGAGGAUUUGUAGGCUUCAUUUAGAAGUCAGCUUUCCUUCAGUGUCCAGGCCUAUGUCUUUUCAUACACACCAAACAU